RNAcentral lists this ribosomal RNA (465 nucleotides) under Vreelandella stevensii. Its description in RNAcentral is "partial 16S ribosomal RNA". It matches the Rfam family "Bacterial small subunit ribosomal RNA", at positions 338 to 795 of the family's 1533-position model. The record is from RNAcentral. Lineage: Bacteria; Pseudomonadati; Pseudomonadota; Gammaproteobacteria; Oceanospirillales; Halomonadaceae.
CCUACGGGAGGCAGCAGUGGGGAAUAUUGGACAAUGGGCGAAAGCCUGAUCCAGCCAUGCCGCGUGUGUGAAGAAGGCCUUCGGGUUGUAAAGCACUUUCAGUGGGGAAGAAAGCCUUGGGGCUAAUACCCUCGAGGAAGGACAUCACCCACAGAAGAAGCACCGGCUAACUCCGCGCCAGCAGCCGCGGUAAUACGGAGGGUGCGAGCGUUAAUCGGAAUUACUGGGCGUAAAGCGCGCGUAGGCGGUCUGAUAAGCCGGUUGUGAAAGCCCCGGGCUCAACCUGGGAACGGCAUCCGGAACUGUCAGGCUAGAGUGCAGGAGAGGAAGGUAGAAUUCCCGGUGUAGCGGUGAAAUGCGUAGAGAUCGGGAGGAAUACCAGUGGCGAAGGCGGCCUUCUGGACUGACACUGACGCUGAGGUGCGAAAGCGUGGGUAGCAAACAGGAUUAGAUACCCGGGUAGUC